RNAcentral lists this ribosomal RNA (145 nucleotides) under uncultured Bacteroidota bacterium. RNAcentral's name for it is "uncultured Bacteroidetes bacterium partial 16S rRNA". It matches the Rfam family "Bacterial small subunit ribosomal RNA", at positions 346 to 488 of the family's 1533-position model. The record is from RNAcentral. Lineage: Bacteria; Pseudomonadati; Bacteroidota.
AGGCAGAGGUGAGGAAUAUUGGUCAAUGGGCGAGAGCCUGAACCAGCCAAGUCGCGUGAAGGAAGAAGGAUCUAUGGUUCGUAAACUUCUUUUGCAGGGGAGAAAAGAGCUGGACGAGUAGCGUUUUGUAAGUACCGAUUGUAAA